RNAcentral lists this transfer RNA (72 nucleotides) under Somniosus microcephalus (Greenland sleeper shark). RNAcentral describes it as "tRNA-Val". It matches the Rfam family "tRNA". From Rfam's summary of the family: Transfer RNA (tRNA) molecules are approximately 80 nucleotides in length. Their secondary structure includes four short double-helical elements and three loops (D, anti-codon, and T loops). Lineage: Eukaryota; Metazoa; Chordata; Chondrichthyes; Squaliformes; Somniosidae. RNAcentral also lists the same sequence under 2 other names. The record is from RNAcentral.
CAAAAUGUAGCUUAAAUAGUAAAGCACCUCCCUUACACCGAGGACAAACCCGCGCACUUCGAGUCAUUUUGA